This 381-nucleotide ribosomal RNA is filed under the name uncultured eukaryote. Its description in RNAcentral is "SSU rRNA". It matches the Rfam family "Eukaryotic small subunit ribosomal RNA", at positions 587 to 972 of the family's 1831-position model. The record is from RNAcentral.
AGCUCCAAUAGCGUAUAUUAAAGUUGUUGCGGUUAAAAAGCUCGUAGUUGGAUUUCUGUGAAGGACGGCCGGUCCGCAUUUUGUGCGUGUAUCUGGCACGGCCUUUACAUCCUCUUGUGGAACGUUGCGGUGCUUAAUUGCAUUGUGCGGAAUGCAAGACUUUUACUUUGAGGAAAUUAGAGUGUUCACGGCAGGCAUGCGCCUUGAAUAUAUUAGCAUGGAAUAAUAACAUAGGCUCCUCGCCCUAUUUUGUUGGUUUCUAGAGCGAAGAGAAUGGUUAAUAGGGAUAAUUGGGGGCACUCGUACUAGAGCGUCAGAGGUGGAAUUCUUAGAUUGCUCUAUGACGAACUACUGCGAAAGCAUUUGCCAAGGAUGUUUUCA